GAUGAACGCUUGCGGCGUGCCUAAUACAUGCAAGUCGAGCGAACAGACGAGGAGCUUGCUCCUUCGACGUUAGCGGCGGACGGGUGAGUAACGCGUAGGUAACCUACCUAUAAGACUGGGAUAACUUCGGGAAACCGGAGCUAAUACCGGAUAAUAUUUCGAACCGCAUGGUUCGAUAGUGAAAGAUGGCUUUGCUAUCACUUAUAGAUGGACCUGCGCCGUAUUAGCUAGUUGGUAAGGUAACGGCUUACCAAGGCAACGAUACGUAGCCGACCUGAGAGGGUGAUCGGCCACACUGGAACUGAGACACGGUCCAGACUCCUACGGGAGGCAGCAGUAGGGAAUCUUCCGCAAUGGGCGAAAGCCUGACGGAGCAACGCCGCGUGAGUGAUGAAGGUCUUCGGAUCGUAAAACUCUGUUAUUAGGGAAGAACAAACGUGUAAGUAACUGUGCACGUCUUGACGGUACCUAAUCAGAAAGCCACGGCUAACUACGUG
This 497-nucleotide ribosomal RNA is filed under the name uncultured bacterium. RNAcentral's name for it is "partial 16S ribosomal RNA". It matches the Rfam family "Bacterial small subunit ribosomal RNA", at positions 28 to 507 of the family's 1533-position model. The record is from RNAcentral.